RNAcentral lists this ribosomal RNA (465 nucleotides) under uncultured bacterium. Its description in RNAcentral is "partial 16S ribosomal RNA". It matches the Rfam family "Bacterial small subunit ribosomal RNA", at positions 28 to 507 of the family's 1533-position model. The record is from RNAcentral.
GACGAACGCUGGCGGCGUGCUUAACACAUGCAAGUCGUACGGUAAGGCCCUUUCGGGGGUACACGAGUGGCGAACGGGUGAGUAACACGUGAGUAACCUGCCCACAACUUUGGGAUAACGCUAGGAAACUGGUGCUAAUACUGGAUAUGUUCUCCUGCUGCAUGGUGGGGGUUGGAAAGCUCCGGCGGUUGUGGAUGGACACGCGGCCUAUCAGCUUGUUGGUGGGGUAGUGGCCUACCAAGGCGGCGACGGGUAGCCGGCCUGAGAGGGUGACCGGCCACAUUGGGACUGAGAUACGGCCCAGACUCCUACGGGAGGCAGCAGUGGGGAAUAUUGCACAAUGGGCGCAAGCCUGAUGCAGCAACGCCGCGGGCGGGAUGACGGCCUUCGGGUUGUAAACCGCUUUCAGCAGGGACGAAGCUUUUUGUGACGGUACCUGCAGAAGAAGCACCGGCUAACUACGUG